RNAcentral lists this ribosomal RNA (401 nucleotides) under uncultured Clostridia bacterium. RNAcentral's name for it is "bacterial SSU rRNA". It matches the Rfam family "Bacterial small subunit ribosomal RNA", at positions 355 to 774 of the family's 1533-position model. The record is from RNAcentral. Lineage: Bacteria; Bacillati; Bacillota; Clostridia.
UGGGGAAUCUUGCACAAUGGAGGCAACUCUGAUGCAGCGACGCCGCGUGAGCGAUGAAGGCUUUCGAGUCGUAAAGCUCUGUCCUAUGGGAUGAUAAUGACAGUACCAUAGGAGGAAGCCCCGGCUAACUACGUGCCAGCAGCCGCGGUAAUACGUAGGGGGCGAGCGUUGUCCGGAAUUACUGGGCGUAAAGGGUUCGCAGGCGGUUUGGCAAGUCUGGUGUAAAAGGCAAGGGCUUAACCCUUGUAAGCAUUGGAAACUGUUAAACUUGAGUAAAGGAGAGGUAAGUGGAAUUCCUAGUGUAGCGGUGGAAUGCGUAGAUAUUAGGAGGAAUACCAGUGGCGAAGGCGACUUACUGGACUUUAACUGACGCUGAGGAACGAAAGCGUGGGGAGCAAACA